This 3085-nucleotide long non-coding RNA is filed under the name Sus scrofa (pig). Its description in RNAcentral is "lncRNA (ENSSSCG00065077036.1)". The record is from RNAcentral. Lineage: Eukaryota; Metazoa; Chordata; Mammalia; Artiodactyla; Suidae.
AGACUCCUGGACCGCCUUCUGACCGGCUAGGAUGUGUGGGCAAAGGUGGAAGGAGGCCGCCACAGUGCUUGGCUUUCUGCAUGUCACAGGCAAGGUGGAUAUUAGAAGCCCUUGUCAGUUUUACAAAUCCAGAGCAGAUAGAAAGAAGGUUUCUGACAGCCCUGGUGUGAGCCAUGUGCCCAUGAUGAAUCCAAUCACCGUGGUUAGGUCAUCUGGUUUGCUCCAGCCCCUGGGACACAGAGCUGUGAGAAAGCAUGCAUCCUUUCAGAUCCAACUGGUGGCGGGCGUGACCCUCCAGGAAAUUUUCCUUUGCUGGCUGCCCGAGUUGGCCAGACAACUUAUCCUCUGAUUGGGGGGUCACACAUCACCCCAAGAGAAUGGUGAUUUUUUUCUGAAGGCAAUGGCAGCAGAGGGAGAGGGAGGAGGCUUAAAAUAACACACACACACACACACACACACACACACGUGCGCACAUGCAGAAGACCAAUGUGUAACACUGAUGGACUCACACAGACUUCAGGAUUAAUUUAUAGAUGCUUCUUAAGCUGAAGUGACUCGUUCAGGCAGCUGGGCCAGGCCAGGCCACGCUUCUUGGGCUUUCCAUCUGCUGAACCAUUCCCGCCUCAGCCCCAGCUAAUGUAGAGGAAGAAAAGUGCUGACAGUGGCCACAGGCCAUGGUGGGAUCAUGCUCCAGGUCUUUGCACUCAAGCCGCCUGGAAUGGCAGAGUUCUAAUGAUUUUUUUUUUUUUAACUUCUUCAUUGUUUUGUUUUUUAACUGCAGCAAAAUCUUCAGAGGGUGCCAUAUACCUGUCUUUUGUGUGUAAUGCAACGACUUUUGAUGGACGUAUAUACCACGUCACCCAAGUUACAAAACAUUCCAUUGCCCCAGAAAGUUCUUUUGUGUCCCUUCCAGUUACAGUCACCCCAAAGGUGCCAUUCUUCUGAUUUCUUUCACCAUACCCAAAUUCUAGAGCUUCAUGUCAGAACAAUCACCCUAGGUUUAUUAUCUUGUAUUAUUUUUUUUCCACUCAGCCCAAGGUCUGUGAAGUUCAUCCAGCUGUUGUGUGCAUCGGUAUUUGAAUCCAAUAUCCUCUGACUCCUAGCCCAGCAUGUGAACCCACACCUGUUGGUUUGCCUCUGUUCACUGGCAGUUCUGUUGUUUCCAGUUUGGGGCUAUUGCGAAGAAAGCUGCACCAAGCAUCCAUGUACCAGACACUGUGUGGACACAGGCUUUCAUUCUCUUCAAUUAAAAAUCUAAGAGUAGAACUGCUGGAUCAUAAGGAGGCAAAUAUUUAAAAUUUAGAAGAAAUUUAUCAUUGAAGCAGUUGUACUGCUUACACUAUCUGCACAAAUGUGGGGGAGUGGCAGUCCACCAGCUCUUUAUCCUCACCAAGGUUUCAUGUUGCUGGUCUAGGGCCUGAACCCAUGGCAUAUGGGUCUAAUCGGAGCUGUAGCUGCUGGCCUACACCACAGCCACAGCAACACAGUAUUCGAGCCAUAUCUGUGACCUACACCACAGCUCACGGCAAUGUCGGGUCCUUAAUCCACUGAGCAAGGCCAGGGAUCAAACCUGCAACCUCAUGGUUCCUAAUCGGAUUUGUUUCCCUUGCGCCAUGAUGGGAACUCCUGCUGGUCUUUUUAGUUUUAACCACUCUUGGGUGUGAACAAUGGUAGCUCAUUGUGAUCUUCAUUUGCAUUUCCCUGAUGACUAAUGAUGAUGAGCACAGCUUCCUGUGUUUACUGGCUAUUCACACACCCCAGAGUCACAAGCAUUUUCUCCUAAAAACGUUAUUAUUUUUUUUUCUUUUUCUUUUUAGGACUGUACUUGUGGCAUAUGGAGGUUCCCAGGCUAGGGGUUGAACUGGAGUUGCAGCUGCCAGCCUACACCAGAGCCACAGCCACAGCAAUGCCAGAUAUGAGCCACAUCUGCAACCUAUGCCACAGCUUGUGGCAACACCACUGAGCGAGGUCAGGGAUGGAACCCACAUCCUCACAGAGACAAUGUUGGGUUCUCAAUCUGCUGAACCACAGUGAGAACUCUUUAUAAUCUUAACAUUUACCUUCAAGUCUAUGAUAUAGCUCAAAUUAGUAUUUGGGUGUGGUGAGAGGUAGAGGGCUAAGUUGGUUUUUACCAUAUAUAUCCAGGUGUUUAAUAUUGUUGCAAAGGCUUUUCUGUCCCAUGAUAUUGCUUCAGAACCUUGGGUGAAAAUCAAUUCACUGUCUCUUUGUGGGUCUAUUUCUGGUCUCCCUGGUCUCUUCUAUUUAUCUGUCUUUCCUUAUGCUGAUGCCACACUGUCUUGAUUACGUAGCUUUACCAUAAGUGUUGAAUCAGGUAGUUUAAGUUCUCCUCUCUAAAUCUUUCUUUGGCAAUAUUGUUUUAACUAUCUAUAUCUUUGCUUUUCCAUAUAAAUUCUUAAUAACGUGUUUCUUGUCAUUUUCUACAAAAACAUCUGUGGAGAUUAUACUUGGAAUUACUUUAAAUUUAGGCAGAAUUGAUACCUUAACAAUAUUGAGUUUUUCAACUCAUCAACAUAGAAUAUCUCUUUACUUACAAGGUUUUUUAAAAAAUAUCUUUCAGCAGUGUUUUGUCAUUUUAUGAUAAAUAUUAUCCAUAUUUUCUUCAAUUUAUUCCUAAGUAUUUUGGGCAUUGGAAUAUUAAUGUAAAAGAGCACUUAAAAUUUUAUUUUCCAAUCUUUUGCUGCUAGUGUAUAGACUUGUAUAGAUUUGGUUCUAGGAGCUGCUUUGUAGGUUCCCUAGGAUUUUCGAUGUAAAGAAUCACGUUAUCUGUAAAGAGAGUUUUAAUUCUUUUGUUCACAUUUUAAUUCCUCUAUUUCUUUUUUAUUAUUAUUAUUCUACCUUAUUGCAUUGUCUGAAAUCUCCAAUACAAAGCUGAACAGAAGUGGCAAGACCAGACAUUAUGGCUUAAUUCCCAUCCUAGAGGAAAGCAUCUAAUAUUUUAGAUUGGUUAUAUUUAUGGUGUGGUUAAUUUUUUUAGAUACCCUGUAUGAUAUUAAGGAAGUUAUCCUCUAUUCCCAGCUUUCUGAGAAUUUUUUUAUGAUCAAUAGAUGCUGAUUUUUGUAAAAUG